This 700-nucleotide ribosomal RNA is filed under the name uncultured bacterium. RNAcentral's name for it is "bacterial SSU rRNA". It matches the Rfam family "Bacterial small subunit ribosomal RNA", at positions 94 to 828 of the family's 1533-position model. The record is from RNAcentral.
AGUGGCGGACGGGUGAGUAACGCGUAAGAAUCUAACUUCAGGACGGGGACAACAGUGGGAAACGACUGCUAAUACCCGAUGUGCCGCGAGGUGAAACCUAAUUGGCCUGAAGAAGAGCUUGCGUCUGAUUAGCUAGUUGGUGGGGUAAGAGCCUACCAAGGCGACGAUCAGUAGCUGGUCUGAGAGGAUGAGCAGCCACACUGGGACUGAGACACGGCCCAGACUCCUACGGGAGGCAGCAGUGGGGAAUUUUCCGCAAUGGGCGAAAGCCUGACGGAGCAACGCCGCGUGAGGGAGGAAGGUCUUUGGAUUGUAAACCUCUUUUCUCAAGGAAGAAGUUCUGACGGUACUUGAGGAAUCAGCCUCGACUAACUCCGUGCCAGCAGCCGCGGUAAUACGGGGGAGGCAAGCGUUAUCCGGAAUUAUUGGGCGUAAAGCGUCCGCAGGUGGUCAGCCAAGUCUGCCGCCAAAUCAGGUUGCUUAACGACCUAAAGGCGGUGGAAACUGGCAGACUAGAGAGCAGUAGGGGUAGCAGGAAUUCCCAGUGUAGCGGUGAAAUGCGUAGAGAUUGGGAAGAACAUCGGUGGCGAAAGCGUGCUACUGGGCUGUAUCUGACACUCAGGGACGAAAGCUAGGGGAGCGAAAGGGAUUAGAUACCCCUGUAGUCCUAGCCGUAAACGAUGGAUACUAGGCGUGGCUU